AGGAGCUCGGAUAGGAAGAGAACCCGUAGGCGAUGAUAACAAUGAGGUGGAAAAAGAAGGGGACCCUUGUGCCUUGCAAAGAGAAACACGACGCAUUGAGGCCAUGGCCUGAAGCUCUUGUUUUUCUCAGAAACCGAGAAAAGAAAAGGGAGUAGCUUUUUGUUGGGUUGUAAUGAUUCUUGAAUCUUGGGUUUAUGGUUG
RNAcentral lists this unclassified non-coding RNA (201 nucleotides) under Hevea brasiliensis (rubber tree). The record is from RNAcentral. Lineage: Eukaryota; Viridiplantae; Streptophyta; Magnoliopsida; Malpighiales; Euphorbiaceae.